GACUCUAUUAGUGGGUGCUUCCCCUCGGCGGCUGUCACAGCAGACCUGCCAAGAGAGCGGUCAGUAAAGUUCCCGUCUGUAGCUUUUCACGGUUUAGUUGCUCUACAAUUAAUUAAUGGGAUGAAAAAGUCCCACACAGCACCUCGCCGCCUCUGGAGCAGCAGCAGCUACCUUUGCCAGCUGUCAAAUUGGAGAGACGUGGACUGGAAAAAUAAGCCCGAGGCUGUGGCUAUUUAAGGUAAUUAGUUCUGAUUCAUGCAGCUCUCAAUCCCUAUUACCUGUUAACUGCUGCCACCAUCAACCAGCGUUCAGCCUGGGGAGUUCAGCUUUGCGUGUGCGUUCAUGUGAAGACUGAAGGCACGGAAAGCAGAAGGAUGCCAGAAUCCAAUCAAAGUCCUGCGCCCUGAAUACAACUGCCACUUCCUGUUUGCCAGCCUGGCCUUUUACCUGGAUUUGUUUGGGUGAAGCACGAGGAAACAAAACAAUUUGGAGGAUACCUCCACCUCCCCAGUCUUUCUUCCACCUGCUCCCUACACUCACUGCAGAUCACAGUGUCAUCAUAUUCCAUGGAGACUCCUGUCGGACCUCAUCUGUCAACCUGUCCGUCACCUUUGAUGGGCAAUGUAUUAAUAUGUCAUCAGCUACAUCGCCGGAUAAUGUAAUGUUUUUUUAAGUACAGCAUUUGCAAACAAUGUUAAUAGUUCAUCUACGGCUUCAGUACUUGGCAAAGUAAUUUUAUUAAAAGUCAUCCACAAGUAAUAGUAAUAGUUGUGUGUUUGCAGAAAACCAUGUUCCCUCACCUAUCAGGUCAGAGGUUUGAUCUGAUUUUUGGCCAGCUUGCAGUUUUUCUUUUGGAUGUUAAACUUCAAAGUUCACUUUUGUCUCUAAAAGCCGAAACUAUCUUUUUGCUCUCUGACCUACUAAGCCACACACAAGCAGCUUUUGGAGCAUUUUUUACUUUGGAUAUUGGACUUAAAAAGUUAUGUUUUAACUGUCAAUUGAUCACACAACCUUGAACUCCUGCCAGAUCACACCAUGCCCAAGCUUUUCUUGGAGCCGUGUAAUUUUCACAGAGUUGAGCAGUACACAGAAUUCACUGGCUCAUGGUGACAUAUUCAUUGAGAAACUGAGACUUCAUAGUGCGAGUCUUUCUAUCUUUUUAGUGCUGGGCAUUACAGUUUAGAAACCAAAUUUUAACAACAAGUUUAAAACUAACUCGGGAGAUAUUUUUGUCUUGGUGCUACCCAAGCUAAGCAGUUUUUUGCCCCCUACAGCUUUCAGUCUUUUUCUGAAGCUCAUCUAAGAAAACAUGUUAAAAACAAAGAGUACUGAAGUAUCUUGACUAAAACUCUGACCUGAAUUGGAGUAUUUAGAGGUGUAAAUAUCUCACUGUAAUAGCAAAAAAGCUCUGUAACCAUUGGAGCAGUUUCAUAAAUGUAUUUUAGAA
This is a long non-coding RNA of Pundamilia nyererei, 1447 nucleotides long. RefSeq lists it as uncharacterized. The transcript is spliced from 3 exons. The record is from RefSeq and is a predicted model, not a curated record. Lineage: Eukaryota; Metazoa; Chordata; Actinopteri; Cichliformes; Cichlidae.